Molecule: ribosomal RNA, 454 nt
Filed under: uncultured Fastidiosipila sp.
Lineage: Bacteria; Bacillati; Bacillota; Clostridia; Eubacteriales; Oscillospiraceae
Description: bacterial SSU rRNA
Rfam family: Bacterial small subunit ribosomal RNA
Source: RNAcentral
GACGGGCCCGCACAAGCAGCGAGCGUGUGGUUUAAUUCGAUGUUACACGAAGAACCUUUACCUGGGUUUGACAUGCUAGUGGUAAUGAAGCGAAAGCUAAGUGACCCGCAAGGAAGCUAGCACAGGUGCUGCAUGGCUGUCGUCAGCUCGUGUCGUGAGAUGUUCGGUUAAGUCCGCUAACGAGCGCAACCCUCGCUGUGUGUUACAAGUGUCACACAGGACCGCCGGUCUUAAGCCGGAGGAAGGUGGGAUGACGUCAAGUCAGCAUGGCCUUUAUGUCCAGGGCUACACACACGCUACAAUGGUCAGCACAAUAGGUAGCCAAGCCGCGAGGUGGAGCCAAUCCUCAAAGCUGGCCUCAGUUCAGAUCGCAGGCUGCAACCCGCCUGCGUGAAGCCGGAGUUGCUAGUAACCGCAGGUCAGCUAUACUGCGGUGAAUACGUUCCCGGGGCUU